UACAGCGGGGGCGAGCGUUGUUCGGAAUUAUUGGGCGUAAAGGGCGCGUAGGCGGCUCGGUAAGCCUGAUGUGAAACCUCCAAGCUCAACUUGGAGCGGCCAUUCGGAACUGCUGUGGCUAGAGUCUGGUAGGGGAACACGGAAUACCUGGUGUAGCGGUGAAAUGCUUAGAUAUCAGGUGGAACACCAGUGGCGAAGGCGGUGUUCUGGGCCAGUACUGACGCUGAGGCGCGAAAGCGUGGGGAGCGAACAGG
This 254-nucleotide ribosomal RNA is filed under the name uncultured bacterium. RNAcentral's name for it is "partial 16S ribosomal RNA". It matches the Rfam family "Bacterial small subunit ribosomal RNA", at positions 524 to 776 of the family's 1533-position model. The record is from RNAcentral.